AUGUCCAGGCUAGAGGAGAUGCUGGCCUUUCACAUGAAACUCUGGCAAGACAUGAAGGUAAGACAAACAGAACUUGACAUCUCUUCUAGUACUGAUUUGACUUCUUGAUUUCAUGGUAUAUGCACUUGCCAUACAUUUCAAUUUAGUGUGCUUUGUUUUGUGUCAUAUUUUACUCAAUUCCAAAGAUAAUGGAACCUCCAGAAGCCCAGAUGAAGGCGGCACCCUUUCUUUAAGAGUCAAUGAGCUGCAAUUUCUUAAUCAACAGAGUUGCCCGCUACAGGACCGAAGCGGAAGCGAAGUGGAGGAACACCAGCAUCAGCUUGAGUGUCAAUCAAGGAACUGACAGCACUGAGACUGGAGCACAGCUCACUCAGAGAGGAUCUGACUGCCGCAAACCUCCAGAACGAGCGGCUCCUCGACCGCUGGUUAGAGGAGAAGAAAGAGGAGGCUGAGAUUAUUAAUAAAUACAAUGCAAUACAAGAAAGGUGGCAAUGUUUGGCUGGUCGCCUGAAGACGCGGUCUCGUGUCCGAUCUCGUGCAGCCAAAAGCAGCUCAGCUCAAAAGCAUCAAGCCCACAGAACGCACUCCUUAAGACUUGCUUAUCUAUGAAUGUCAAUUAAGUUGUAGGCAAUUUUACUCCGCUUUUGGAGAUUAUUUUACAAAAAAAUAAAGCUUAUUCUUAAUACCUAUGUUUAAUAACACGGUAACACA
Molecule: long non-coding RNA, 711 nt
Organism: Carassius carassius (crucian carp)
Lineage: Eukaryota; Metazoa; Chordata; Actinopteri; Cypriniformes; Cyprinidae
Exons: 3
Source: RefSeq, a predicted model, not a curated record